Molecule: microRNA precursor, 109 nt
Filed under: Canis lupus familiaris (dog)
Lineage: Eukaryota; Metazoa; Chordata; Mammalia; Carnivora; Canidae
Also listed under: 1 other name
Description: mir-8834 microRNA precursor family
Rfam family: mir-8834 microRNA precursor family
Source: Rfam by way of RNAcentral
AGGUGGAACAACUACAGUGGUGGAGGCCAGCUCUAGAGCCCUGGAUUCAGCUCCUGCAGUAGCUACAGAGCUCUCAGUCUGCAGGGUCCUGGAUGCUCCGCCGGGCGGG